Molecule: non-coding RNA, 246 nt
Organism: Pelobates cultripes (western spadefoot toad)
Lineage: Eukaryota; Metazoa; Chordata; Amphibia; Anura; Pelobatidae
Source: the annotation of a GenBank genome assembly
CUCAGACGGCCCUAAAGGUGAUUCCGAGUCCAGUGCUGCACAAUGGGCAUCAUCUACGUUCAGCAUCUCCACACUCUGCAUGGAGGUGCUGAAUGUUCCCCAUAGAGAUGCAUUGAUUCAAUGCAUCUCUAUGAAGAGAUGCUGAAUGGCGCAGUGCAGUGUUUUGUCGAGCGUGCACAAUAGCCUUCCAAUGCCUUCCUAUAGGAAAGCAUUGAACUGGCUGAUAUCAAUACUGACACAUUCACA